CUUAUAUUCCAUUUUAAAUUAAGUGUUGUCAUGCUUUCUUUAACAAUUUCUCUUCGCUUCUUCACUCGUUGUCUUUUCAAACUACUUUAUAAUGCUUUUACUUUAAGUUCAAAGUUUAUCAGAAACAGUAUCUGUACCUCAUACGAGUAAAAUCUACAUACACACUACCCUCUCGCCAACGCACACCACCCUCUCGUCAGCAUCCACGUGUGAGAUUACAGCAAGUAAUAUUGUUUGUGGUGCUGGUGGUGGAGUUUUUGACCAAAUACAUCCCUAUUAUUUUACCACAACUUUCAUUACAUCCUCCUAAUAUACUAUUUAACUAAGAAGAUCCUUCAAGUUUCUGAAAAAUGAUCAAAAGUAUCCUUCUGUCAGUUUUUUCCAUUUUCUUUUAACGGAAUCAUUUUUGUUCAAAGUCACUUUUCUCUUUUUGUUUCAAAAUUUUUUCUGUUCUUCAAUGAUUUAAAAAAAAAAAAAAAAAAAGAGCUUCAUAUGGUCAGACAACAGUAAAUGAUGUUCAAAGAUUUUUAAAAAAGGAGCUUCAACAUGGCCAGACAACAGUCCUGGAUGCAAGCCUGAGUAUGUGUAACCUGGCAUCAGGCAUGGAUUGGAAUGGGUUUGCUACUUCUACUUUUGUAUAGCUCGUCCUCUAAGAGACUGGCGCGAGCAGCCCUUCGGGAGAUGAGGUAUAGGGACAUAAAGAAGAUAGAAAAGGGGAUUAGGCGCCAUUUUCAUGAUGAUAUAGCAGUUAUUUUGAUCUACCUUGAUCACCAGAUAGAAUCCUUCCACUCCAAAGGCACUCUUGGCUCUAUCACCGCACCUGUAGAUGUUUUCUCAUAUAAUUCAAAUGAUGCUGAGGAGAAACAAGUGAUUGAAGCUUUUUGAACAGCCAAAAAUCGCAACAAGAGGGUGGUAUAUUCAGUACAUAAUGUUACAGUAUAGGGAAAUAGCGACAUACAAGGCAGAGGUGAAGCCAGUAUUUUAGGUCUGUGGGUUCAGAAUUUUAAGAGAAAGAGUAAAAAACAAAAACACUACUCUCAUCUCCCAUGUUUGUAUGUGGGUUCGCAACUAUAUAUUUUAUAUAUUAUUUCUGAAUUUUAUAGUAUAAAUACAGGAUCUACGUAAAAGCUACUGGGUUCGGCCGAACCCCCAAACACCCUCUAGCUACACCUCUGAUACAAGGUAUUGCAUGGAGAGGAUACAGGUUUGAUGUAGAUAAACUAGGUUUAUGGGUGGCUGCUUGGAUGAUUUGGGAGCAGAUAUUCAGAUUAGGAUCGGACCAAACCCAUUGUUUUGUUCUUUUCAGAUGGAUUGUGCUUUGAGAUAAAUAGUGCAAUAGAGGAUCUGGCCAUGUGAAGCAAAUCUUUGAAGAACCGGAAAAUUUUGAAAGAAGAAGAGAAAAGUGGCUUUGAACAAAAAUAAUUCUGUUAAAGAAGAUGGAAAAAACUGACAGAGGGAUGUUUUUGAUAAACUUGAAGGAUGUUCUUAGCUAAGUAGUAUAUUAAGAGGAUGUAAUGAAAGUUGUGGUAAAAUAAUAGGGAUGUAUUUGGUCAAAAACUCGCUGGUGGUGGUGGUUCUAAUCAACUAAUAAUCCGCCC
This is a long non-coding RNA of Capsicum annuum, 1598 nucleotides long. RefSeq lists it as uncharacterized. NCBI's taxonomy places the organism in Eukaryota, Viridiplantae, Streptophyta, Magnoliopsida, Solanales, Solanaceae. The record is from RefSeq and is a predicted model, not a curated record. The transcript has 2 exons.